CCUACGGGAGGCAGCAGUGGGGAAUAUUGGACAAUGGGGGGAACCCUGAUCCAGCGACGCCGCGUGAGUGAAGAAGUAUUUCGGUAUGUAAAGCUCUAUCAGCAGGGAAGAAAAUGACGGUACCUGACUAAGAAGCCCCGGCUAACUACGUGCCAGCAGCCGCGGUAAUACGUAGGGGGCAAGCGUUAUCCGGAUUUACUGGGUGUAAAGGGAGCGUAGACGGGAGAGCAAGUCUGGAGUGAAAGGGCGGGGCUCAACCCCGGGACUGCGUUGGAAACUGUCAGGCUGGAGUGCAGGAGAGGUAAGUGGAAUGCGUGGUGUAGCGGUGAAAUGCGUAGAUAUUAGGAGGAACACGCAUGGCGAAGGCGGCUUGCUGGACCGUAACUGACGCUGAGGCGCGAAAGCGUGGGGAGCAAACAGGAUUAGAUACCCUAGUAGUC
Molecule: ribosomal RNA, 440 nt
Filed under: uncultured bacterium
Lineage: Bacteria
Description: partial 16S ribosomal RNA
Rfam family: Bacterial small subunit ribosomal RNA
Source: RNAcentral